This 472-nucleotide ribosomal RNA is filed under the name uncultured bacterium. Its description in RNAcentral is "partial 16S ribosomal RNA". It matches the Rfam family "Bacterial small subunit ribosomal RNA", at positions 28 to 507 of the family's 1533-position model. The record is from RNAcentral.
GACGAACGCUGGCGGCGUGCUUAACACAUGCAAGUCGAACGCUGAAGCUUGGUGCUUGCACUGGGUGGAUGAGUGGCGAACGGGUGAGUAAUACGUGAGUAACCUGCCCUUGACUCUGGGAUAAGCCUGGGAAACUGGGUCUAAUACUGGAUACGACAUGCCACUGCAUGGUGGUGUGUGGAAAGGGUUUUACUGGUUUUGGAUGGGCUCACGGCCUAUCAGCUUGUUGGUGGGGUAAUGGCCUACCAAGGCGACGACGGGUAGCCGGCCUGAGAGGGUGACCGGCCACACUGGGACUGAGACACGGCCCAGACUCCUACGGGAGGCAGCAGUGGGGAAUAUUGCACAAUGGGCGGAAGCCUGAUGCAGCGACGCCGCGUGAGGGAUGACGGCCUUCGGGUUGUAAACCUCUUUCAGCACGGAAGAAGCGAGAGUGACGGCACGUGCAGAAGAAGCGCCGGCUAACUACGUG